UACGGGGGGGGCAAGCGUUGUUCGGAAUUACUGGGCGUAAAGGGCUCGUAGGCGGCCAACUAAGUCGGAUGUGAAAUCCCCAGGCUCAACCUGGGAACUGCAUCCGAUACUGGAUGGCUUGAAUUCGGGAGAGGGAUGCAGAAUUCCAGGUGUAGCGGUGAAAUGCGUAGAUAUCUGGAGGAAUACCGGUGGCGAAGGCGGCAUCCUGGACCGACAUUGACGCUGAUGAGCGAAAGCUAGGGGAGCAAACGGGG
Molecule: ribosomal RNA, 254 nt
Filed under: uncultured bacterium
Lineage: Bacteria
Description: partial 16S ribosomal RNA
Rfam family: Bacterial small subunit ribosomal RNA
Source: RNAcentral